UGCUUAUCAAGAAAGACUGAGGGAUUGGCCCUAUGAUGUCUUAGCAACCUCUAUAAUUUAUUGUAAAAGGUGCUAAUUCCAAUUCGCUGCAAAGCGAAAAAGAUAAGAU
RNAcentral lists this non-coding RNA (109 nucleotides) under Pedobacter sp. RNAcentral's name for it is "SAM-I sequence". It matches the Rfam family "SAM riboswitch aptamer (S box leader)". Rfam says of the family: The SAM riboswitch is found upstream of a number of genes which code for proteins involved in methionine or cysteine biosynthesis in Gram-positive bacteria. Lineage: Bacteria; Pseudomonadati; Bacteroidota; Sphingobacteriia; Sphingobacteriales; Sphingobacteriaceae. The record is from RNAcentral.